RNAcentral lists this ribosomal RNA (470 nucleotides) under uncultured bacterium. Its description in RNAcentral is "bacterial SSU rRNA". It matches the Rfam family "Bacterial small subunit ribosomal RNA", at positions 329 to 793 of the family's 1533-position model. The record is from RNAcentral.
GAAGACCAUCCUACGGGAGGCAGCAGUGGGGAAUAUUGCACAAUGGGCGCAAGCCUGAUGCAGCCAUGCCGCGUGUAUGAAGAAGGCCUUCGGGUUGUAAAGUACUUUCAGCAGUGAGGAAGGUGGGUAUGUUAAUAGCAUAUCAUUUGACGUUAGCUGCAGAAGAAGCACCGGCUAACUCCGUGCCAGCAGCCGCGGUAAUACGGAGGGUGCGAGCGUUAAUCGGAAUUACUGGGCGUAAAGCGCAUGCAGGUGGUUUGUUAAGUCAGAUGUGAAAGCCCGGGGCUCAACCUCGGAAUUGCAUUUGAAACUGGCAAACUAGAGUACUGUAGAGGGGGUAGAAUUUCAGGUGUAGCGGUGAAAUGCGUAGAGAUCUGAAGGAAUACCGGUGGCGAAGGCGGCCCCCUGGACAGAUACUGACACUCAGAUGCGAAAGCGUGGGGAGCAAACAGGAUUAGAUACCCUGGUAG